GACGAACCGUGCGAACGUUGUUCGGAAUCACUGGGCUUAAAGGGCGCGUAGGCGGUCGGGCAAGUCCGGGGUGAAAUCCUGCAGCUUAACUGUAGAAGUGCCUUGGAUACUGCUCGGCUCGAGGGAGGUAGGGGUCUGUGGAACUUCUGGUGGAGCGGUGAAAUGCGUUGAUAUCAGAAGGAACGCCGGUGGCGAAAGCGACAGACUGGACCUCUUCUAACGCUGAGGCGCGAAAGCUAGGGGAGCAAACGGG
Molecule: ribosomal RNA, 253 nt
Filed under: uncultured prokaryote
Description: partial 16S ribosomal RNA
Rfam family: Bacterial small subunit ribosomal RNA
Source: RNAcentral